Molecule: ribosomal RNA, 433 nt
Filed under: uncultured bacterium
Lineage: Bacteria
Description: partial 16S ribosomal RNA
Rfam family: Bacterial small subunit ribosomal RNA
Source: RNAcentral
AACGAACGCUGGCGGCAUGCCUAACACAUGCAAGUCGAACGAUAACUGCGGGUCUAGGUGCGCACGGGAUGGUAAGGGGAGGGGACCGUCACGUAGGGGCGGAAUAACUCCCAGCGGGGGGUGAUAAUACGGGAUGAAUGCUUCGGACGCAUGAUUUAUCGACUUAUGAGGGGCCCGCGUGGGAGUAGCUAGUUGGUAGGGUAAACGCCUACCAAGGCUACGAUACAUAGCUGGUCUGGGAGGAUGAUCAGCCACACUGGGACUGUGACACGGCGCAGAGUCCUACGGGUAGCAGCAGUGCGGAAUGCUGGACGACGCGCGAGAGCAUGAUCCUGCCGUGCCGCGUGAGUGAUGAAGUCCUUAGGGUUGUAAAGCUCUUUUAACCGGGCUGCUAAUGACAGUACCGGGAGAAUAAGCGCCGGCUAACUCCGUG